This 2199-nucleotide long non-coding RNA is filed under the name Gadus morhua (Atlantic cod). RNAcentral's name for it is "lncRNA (ENSGMOG00000036008.1)". Lineage: Eukaryota; Metazoa; Chordata; Actinopteri; Gadiformes; Gadidae. The record is from RNAcentral.
CAACUUCAAUCUUCAACCCUGUACCUGUGAAGCACCCCCCCCCCCACGGUGUUAUUUAGAGCUACUGCUUAAGCAAUUGUCCUCAAGGCUGAACAGACACUGACUUUUGACUUGUUGUCGUUGAUGAUCUGACCUUUUUGAAGGUGUGUGCGGGGUGUGUCGGUAUGUGUGUGGUUGUGGGUGUGUGUCUUCAACAAAGAAGCUCAGCAAAUUACUGGUUAACUGGUUCUGUCACUAAGAUAUGCAUGCCAUGCAACUGGGUGUCUGCAUGAGAGAACCAUGGUAAAAUAACAACAACAAUGCACUUUUGCUUAGUGUUAUCCAGGAUAUAUUGUUUAAUUAAAAGCCAUCAGACUUAAAGGGACAGUUUGCAGAUCCAACACAUUAUCCUGAUAUUAUGCCACCAGGUGUGAGUGUGAUAUGAAAAAAGUGUAUAGUUGAACAAUAAAAGUUUUCAUUCUUGAUGACACAUUUCAAAAUUAUUAUAAAGUUAUAAAAAUCACAUCUUUAUUUUGAGACCUAAAUCAUGAAUACAAGAAAAAGUUUACGCAGUGUCCCAUUUUCCCUUAAUCUAUCUUACCAGCCAAGAGAAACGCAUCACAAUCCUCAAAUAUUGACUCUGCAGCACACCGUUCAAACAAGACCUGCCUCUUUUUGGGGUCAGGAAACCUCACAACGCUUACAACACCGGGACCGAAUUAGAAAGAGUAUAGUCAUAUAGACGAAGGACUCAUCAUCAAGAAUCAUCAUCAAAUUGCAAACAAAGGCCGCUGAUGAAGACAUAGACCAAAGACGAGGAUAGGGCGAGUGGGAGCAACUGGAGAAAACUUCACCUUUCAGCGGACACAAAAUUAAAAAUAAUAAUUCGGCGCCGCCAUGACCCUGCCGUCCGUCGGUGCGACCAGCCUCUGUCUCCCCUCCCAGACCACCGUCCAGCAGCUGUUCUCCGUGGCCAGGGAUGCCGGUGUGGUUCCAGACAUCUCCCUGGACCCCGUCCUCACCGCCUUCCUGUCCAUGGAGUCGCGUGCGUCCCUGCUGCACCAGUACGCCUCGCUGCAGAGGGGCAUGACGCCGGAGCAGCUGGCCUCCUUCCGCCACAACGUGAGCGGGGAGCUGGGUGGCAGCACCAGGGUCCGCCACGGAGGAGUGGGCGUGGUCGCCCUGGCCCUCUCCGUGCUCUUUGACCUCGUGGCCAAAAAGGUCCCGAAGCAGCAGGGGGCGACCGGGUGCCUAUUUGGGAUCCGGCGCUCCUCCAGGAUCGGCCGGAUGAUCCACAGCUACCUGCGUCUGAUCCCCGGCGUGGCCAACGACCCUGAGGGCAUGGCCGAGACCACAGAGCUCUACGACAACUGGCUGAAGCUGGAGCUGAUCGACCACUACGAGAGGAUGACCAACAAGAAGAGGAUGGGCUCCGAGGCCAUGAGGCAGUGGCUUGCUGGCGCCGCCGUCCACAUGCACAUGAGGAUCCACCAGGUGAGACUGAAAUCGGUGCCUCUUGGCUCGGCCGAGUCCCUGCGCCUCUCUUACAGGACGGCUUUCGCCCAGCUGGUGCAGGACUACGCAUCCUACCUCCGCCGAAACAUCCGGGAAACCCCGCCUUCAGGCACAUACAAACCCAACGCGGCCCAGCCAGGCGAGCGAACACCGGCGGCUACGACGUUCCAGCGCCUCACCGACCACGGGACCCGGAAGGAACCGAGUGAGACAGAGGGAGCAGGGGUAGCCGUCUGCGUGGGGGCGACGAUGGGUAACGUCAGCCUGGCCUGCCCAAUGAAUGACCUCAACGGGACCGGCCCCGACGGGCAUAACUCAACCACCGCAGCGAACCAAGCGGCAGCUUUUAGCGGAGGAUCCAAUGAGGUUACGGGGCAAACAGGUCCAAAACAGAUGGAUAAUAAUAAUGACGUGGGCCCUGAAAGAGGUGCAGCCAGUGUGUUGAGUGGUGUUGGCGGGGCUGCGCAGCCAACAGCCAGUGACGGUCUGUUAGUCAUUGAAGCCAUGAGGAACGUGAGUCAUGGUGUACGGCAUCGGGCCUGUGAGUCUCCAGUCAUAGAGCAAGCCCUGGCCACCCUCAUUUCAGAGGCGCAGGACCUGGAAGAGAGCAGGGACUUUUUCCUGUACCCCCGGCCACUGCUUGACAAUCUGCUCGGCCAGAGAGCUGACUUUGACUUGAAGAUAAGAUGGCGGAAAACUAUUUGA